Molecule: long non-coding RNA, 727 nt
Organism: Sphaeramia orbicularis (orbiculate cardinalfish)
Lineage: Eukaryota; Metazoa; Chordata; Actinopteri; Kurtiformes; Apogonidae
Exons: 3
Source: RefSeq, a predicted model, not a curated record
UUAAAUCAAACAUUUGAUCUGACAGAAAUGUCCAAUGUGGAGUGAGAGUGCAUCUGUUACUGACACAAAGCAAAGGGAGGUCAGUUGGAGUUCACAGUAUGAGUAACAUAUUUUAGGCCAAUAGAAGAUACCCAUGUUUUGUUGUUUGUUUACUUUGGGCAUUUCUCAAUACACGUUCUUGUCUGUUCUUCUGUUCUUACGAUCUUGUGAAAUGUCAUCAGUUGCAGCCCGAGUUCUGUUCCAUUUGAAAUUUGACACAAACUAAGAUUGGAUGGAAUACUGAGAUGUUCUUGUCUGCUAACUUAAGCCAAGGAUGCACUGGUUGGUGACUCGUGUGGACUUGGCUGGCAAAUAUCCCCAGAUGCAUUUCGUGCCACUGUCGAUUUAUUCUGAAAGGCAACGGUGGCUUCUGUGACAACUUAAUUCAUAAAUGUUUUAUUGAGUUGAUGACCAUGACGAGAUGAUGUGAUACAAUGUUGGAACACGCGAGAAGCAGAAUAGUGAGAAAAUACAUCUUUAUUAUCAUGAUAUGAGAUUCAACAAAAUUAGUUUAUCUACAGUAGUUUUGAAGAAUUUAAGAAAUGUUUAAAAAAUGUAAAUGACAUGUACACGUUUGCUCAAAGGUACUGAAAUCAAUUGAGUGACAUAUUGUGGUGGAUUGCGGGAAUAUGUUAGGGAGCCGAUGGUGAAAAUACAGCAGAGCCAGGGAGGAAAUUUAUGAGAUUUA